This is a long non-coding RNA of Trichechus manatus latirostris (Florida manatee), 400 nucleotides long. RefSeq lists it as uncharacterized. The record is from RefSeq and is a predicted model, not a curated record. NCBI's taxonomy places the organism in Eukaryota, Metazoa, Chordata, Mammalia, Sirenia, Trichechidae. The transcript has 3 exons.
UCUCUCUAUAGGGGGAGAAAGAAUAGAACUCAACACACCAUCCGCAGGAGUGAGCCACUUUCACACUCACACACACAACAGGCAAAAAGAAAAUAGCUUUUCCUGCAACGUCAACACCACUGAAGCCUCAGUUCUGACUAUGGUAUCCCACAAAGAGAUCCGUGAUGUCUGUUUCCUGGGCUGUGUGGACAAGCUUGCACACUGCCACUGGUACAGAAGAGAAAGGCUAUCCAAAGGUGGAAACAACCUAAAUGCUCAUCAACAGAUGAAUGGAUAAACAACAUGUGGUACAUACAUACAAUGGAACACUACUCAGCCAGCAGAGAAAUGAGAUCUUGAUGCGUGCAACAAUAUGGAUGGAGCUUGAAGACAUUAUACUGAGUGAAAUAAAUCAAUCACA